RNAcentral lists this long non-coding RNA (501 nucleotides) under Homo sapiens (human). RNAcentral describes it as "HSALNT0064709". Lineage: Eukaryota; Metazoa; Chordata; Mammalia; Primates; Hominidae. The record is from RNAcentral.
GAUUAAUUGAUUGCUAUAAAAAGUUAGAUGAAAUAAAAUGUUCUCCUUGCUCUUCAAACUAAGAUAAGCUAAUAACUUUGGACACAAUUUCACUCCUCUGCAUUCACCAAAUGUCCAAUUACAUAUCCUCCCUGCCUGGACCUUCAGAACAAUAUAAAACUGAAUGAAGGCUAUGAAAGAAGUCACAGGAGGAUUUUUGCAGAGCUUCCAUCCAGUUCAGAAACAAAGCAAUUCAAUACAUGUCUUCAAGAUUUCUAAAGGCAAUGACUUAGUCAUGAAAUCUGAUGUAAUUACAAGCAAAAAAUACAUCUGGUAUUUACUAGGUUAGAAAGCAUGAAAAUGUGUGUAACAAGAUUAGAAAAAGGUUACUUCUCCAAGAAAGGAAAAAACAAAAGAAAGAAAUGCUGUGGGAUUGUAUUGGACUCCUGACAAUGGCACCAACUUCACAAUGUGAUAUUAAUAGAUUUUGAAGGAUGGGGUGAGAGUGCCGAAGAUAUGACA